ACAUUCCACUAGAUGGCAGAAAUCUAUUUAACAAACCGAAUAUCAUAUCCUCAUGUGUCUGUGUUUGUAGAUCUGACAUUCAGAGCAAAAACAGCAAAACAUGUCUGAAUACACAAAUAUCAUCUACUGCCUUCAGAAGGAAGAUCAGCCAGAGUUAGGCUCGCUGGAUGUGGACAGAACAGAGACAACUGUGAACUAUCGACACACAA
Molecule: long non-coding RNA, 209 nt
Organism: Carassius carassius (crucian carp)
Lineage: Eukaryota; Metazoa; Chordata; Actinopteri; Cypriniformes; Cyprinidae
Exons: 2
Source: RefSeq, a predicted model, not a curated record